RNAcentral lists this ribosomal RNA (690 nucleotides) under Triticum aestivum (bread wheat). RNAcentral's name for it is "partial small subunit ribosomal RNA". Lineage: Eukaryota; Viridiplantae; Streptophyta; Magnoliopsida; Poales; Poaceae. The record is from RNAcentral.
AUGCUUGACAAGGCGAGCAAGGCUGGCAUUUUAUCUCCCCUGGGAAGCAUACCCAUUCGAUAUAGGACAUCUCUCUAUGCUGACGAUGUUAUCGUUUUCAUAUGCCCGUUGGGAAAUGAGGCGACCGCAGUAGCUGAGAUCCUAUCGCUGUUCGGAAAUGCAACUGGAUUUCGCACCAACUUUCAGAAGAGCAGCAUCAGCUCUAAAAGGCAAUUAAUUCUCCAAACCCCUUUCUUUAUCAUCAUCAUCCGUGAAUACUUUUUUAGCGAGACCAACGCCCCUGAGCGCCGGCCGGCCGCCCCGGCCCCGGCGGCCACCACUCUGGUGCCAGCGUCCACCCUCCCGCCGUCCCUCAUAGCAUCACAGGUUUCUCUCUCGGGGUCCUCCUCGUCCUCCUCGCGGGGUCGCCGCCGCCUCCUCCCCGGCCGCCUCUUCGUUCCAUGGUUCUGGUGCCUUAUGUGCUUGGCACAGCCUUCGGACCCAUCGUCCAGCCCGGUCCUGGUGGGUGCCCCUCACCACCUUGCCCGUCGGCUUGGCAGACAAGGGCCUCUCGCCGCCCGCGGAGCCCUGCGGCUCGCCCUCCCCAUACUGGCGCGCGCCGCCGGACCUCUCCGACCCUCCCCACCACGCGCCCGCCGAGACCUGCAUCCCAGCCUGCCUCCAUGGCUGCUGCUACAAUCGCGGGGAUGA